This is a small RNA of 294 nucleotides. It matches the Rfam family "5' ureB small RNA". The record is from Rfam.
CCUCGUCGACCAGUUGCGGGCAGAUGAAGUGGACGUGGGCGUCGAUGGCGCCGGCCGUGAGGAUCCGGCCGUUGCCGGCGAUGAUCUCCGUCUCCGGGCCGAUCACCAGCGCGGGGUGGACCCCGUCCAUGGUCUCGGGGUUGCCGGCCUUGCCCAGGGCGGUGAUCCGGCCGUCGCGGAUGCCCACGUCGGCCUUGACCACGCCCCAGUGGUCGAGCACGAUCGCGCCGGUGAUCACGGUGUCCGGGGCGCCCUGGGCCCGGGUGAGGCGGGACUGGCCCAUGGAUUCGCGGA